RNAcentral lists this ribosomal RNA (497 nucleotides) under uncultured bacterium. RNAcentral describes it as "partial 16S ribosomal RNA". It matches the Rfam family "Bacterial small subunit ribosomal RNA", at positions 28 to 507 of the family's 1533-position model. The record is from RNAcentral.
GAUGAACGCUGGCGGCGUGCCUAAUACAUGCAAGUCGAGCGAACGGACGAGAAGCUUGCUUCUCUGAUGUUAGCGGCGGACGGGUGAGUAACACGUGGAUAACCUACCUAUAAGACUGGGAUAACUUCGGGAAACCGGAGCUAAUACCGGAUAAUAUUUUGAACCGCAUGGUUCAAAAGUGAAAGACGGUCUUGCUGUCACUUAUAGAUGGAUCCGCGCUGCAUUAGCUAGUUGGUAAGGUAACGGCUUACCAAGGCAACGAUGCAUAGCCGACCUGAGAGGGUGAUCGGCCACACUGGAACUGAGACACGGUCCAGACUCCUACGGGAGGCAGCAGUAGGGAAUCUUCCGCAAUGGGCGAAAGCCUGGCGGAGCAACGCCGCGUGAGUGAUGAAGGUCUUCGGAUCGUAAAACUCUGUUAUUAGGGAAGAACAUAUGUGUAAGUAACUGUGCACAUCUUGACGAUACCUAAUCAGAAAGCCACGGCUAACUACGUG